UAAAAGCUAACAUUCCAAAAUUGAAGUUACAUUGAAGAACUUUUGACACCAAAACUUUAAAAUUGAACUUACCGACCAACGAAUUUAACUAGAAGGAGAAGUCAGACCCUGUAUAGAAUCAAUGCAACGUAACAUAAUAAAAAAAUGUCGCUUUAUAAGUAAGAAACCAAAACAAAGAAACUAAAGAACGGGAAAGGAAUGAAAGAAAAACCUGGCAGAAAAAGAAAGAACAAAAUGAAAAAAAACUCACCGGAGGUUUCUAAAAGGUUUUAAAUAACAAACUGAAACUAAAUACCAC
This 298-nucleotide long non-coding RNA is filed under the name Gossypium raimondii (Peruvian cotton). RNAcentral describes it as "long non-coding RNA (GRAI_LNC004609)". Lineage: Eukaryota; Viridiplantae; Streptophyta; Magnoliopsida; Malvales; Malvaceae. The record is from RNAcentral.